RNAcentral lists this ribosomal RNA (305 nucleotides) under uncultured bacterium. RNAcentral's name for it is "bacterial SSU rRNA". It matches the Rfam family "Bacterial small subunit ribosomal RNA", at positions 337 to 634 of the family's 1533-position model. The record is from RNAcentral.
GCCUACGGGGGGCAGCAGUAGGGAAUCUUCCACAAUGGGCGAAAGCCUGAUGGAGCAACGCCGCGUGGGUGAAGAAGGUCUUCGGAUCGUAAAACCCUGUUGUUAGAGAAGAAAGUGCGUGAGAAUAACUGUUCACGUUUCGACGGUAUCUAACCAGAAAGCCACGGCUAACUACGUGCCAGCAGCCGCGGUAAUACGUAGGUGGCAAGCGUUAUCCGGAUUUAUUGGGCGUAAAGGGAGCGCAGGCGGUCUUUUAAGUCUGAUGUGAAAGCCUUCGGCUUAACCGGAGGAGUGCAUUGGAAACU